This is a long non-coding RNA of Homo sapiens (human), 2524 nucleotides long. The record is from Ensembl. NCBI's taxonomy places the organism in Eukaryota, Metazoa, Chordata, Mammalia, Primates, Hominidae.
AUAGCAAAUGGGCUAUUCCUCAGCCUACAAAAGGAUGGAAAUUCUGAUACAUCAUACAACAUGGAUGAACCUUGAAGAAUUAUGCUAAAUGAAAUAAGCCAUUUAUAAAAGGACAUUUACCGCUUCAUGAUUUUGUUGAUGAUAUUCCUGGAGUAGUUACAUUCAUGGAGAAAGAAAGUGGAAUGGUGCAUUUUACCUCAAUGGAAAAUGUUUCAAAUGAAAACAAAAUAAAAAUUCACCUCCAACCAAUCUACUGAAUGGCUAGAAUUUGAAAGGCCAACACAUGAGCUGCUGCAAGGCUGGAGAAAGGAAGUUUCAGACACCACAGGAGAAAGCAGAAGACAUUGGCAGCUGGUGGAGAGACACGUGUAGACAUGUAGGGGCUUCGGGGUCUCUCCUCAAAGGACAACAGGUGCAGAGUGGCCGGCACUUGGGAACUUUGCCUUCACAUUGACCUGGGCAAAGGGCUGCCCACAGCCCUAUUCUGAUGCCUGCUGUGCAUGACAGAGACGGAGAAAGAAGGAAGAAGGGGAAGGGGAGAAAGGGGAGAAAGUGUUUUCUGUUCACAGGUGGGAAAAGAGGAGACAGGAGCUUCGAUGAGGCUGCUGUCAUGAGUGAUACAUACAGGGAUGACCAGAGCUGGAAUAAACUGAGGUGAGAAUGACAAAUAUCAGAGGUGGCUGUGCGCAGGUACCUCUGGAAAGGAGAAAGGGCUUGGUGUGGAGCAGGCCUAUCAGCUAUGGCUUCAGACUUCGGGGAGGGGAGGUCCUUGCAGGUCUAUUUCCUCCUCUGGGCCUCUCUCCCGCAUCCUCUUCUCUCUCCUCUCUUUGCCGAAUUCCACUCCAGCUCUCAGCUUGGACACCACCCCUCAGGGAGCCUUUCCUGCCUUCCCCACGGCACCCACGCUUGACACGCUGAUGUCUGUCUUCCCUGAAGCUGCUGUCUUGUCCCUGCUGCUCUGCAGGCCGCUAGCAACCAGCAUGGACCGGAACCACUGCUCCAGCGCCAAGGCGGUGCUCAGCAAGUGUCGGCUGAAUGAGGGGAUGAGGAAUGGUGUGCUUGAAUGACCGUGGGUCCUGGGUGAGCCGCCAGGGAUGCGACAAACCUAGAACCCCUGGGUGACCCCUCCUAUGUUGGGUGGGCUGGUCCCAGAGCCACCCAGAUGCCCCAAGACCCCCGCCGCCGACUUUGGGGGAUGGGAGGGAAUGGGAAGGGUGGGGAAUGGGGGCCGUGGACUCCACAUCAUAUCCACGGGUAAAAUGUUCUCAAGGAACAGUUUGUUUUCAUUUCAAAGGCUCAUCCAAUAUAUCGGGUCAAGGUUUAUCAGAAAAUUUUCUGAGAUCUUACUGUUUUCCCUAUAUCGGAAAGAAUUUCCAAAAAAUAGUGUUUUAAAGAUGUGUAAUUGUCACUGGAGUGAGGUGGAGCCACGUCCAGGAGGGCGGGUGGCAGUUUCCGGGCAGAAGUCAGGGCCUCAGCCUGGAUGCAUUCUUGCCUCCCCCAAGAUGCUGAAAUGCUUGCCCAUUCCAGCCUCCGAGGAAAGCAGGAGACCCACAGGAAGGGUGGCUCCCUGCCUGCCUUCCACCACCUCCCUGCUAUAAACAAAAAGGUCUCAAUCAAUUUAGGAAGUCUAUUUUGCCAAGGUUAGGGACGCGCCUGUGACACAGCCUCAGGAGGUCCUGACGACAUGCACCCAAGGUGAUGGGGCACAGCUUGGUUUGAUACAUUUUAGGGAGAUGUGAGACCUCAAUCAAUGUAUGUAAGAUGAACAUUGGUUUGGUCUGGAAAGGCGGGGACAACUCGAAACAGGGAGGAGGCUUCCAGGUCAUAGGAAGAUAAAGAGACAAACGGUUGCAUUCUUUUGAAUUUCUGAUCAGCCUUUCUAAAGGGAGCAAUCAGAUACGCAUUCGUCUCAGUGAGCAGAAGGGUGACUUUUGAGUUCUGUCUGUCCUUUGUCUGCAAGGAACUUCCUUGUGGACAAAUUGUGAGGGAGGUGUGUAGCUUUUUUAUCUUAGUAGGUAUCUCUUUUAGGAAUAGAAUGGGAGGCAGGUUUGCCCUAACCAGUUCCCAUCUUGACCUUUCCCUUUGGCUUAGUGACUUGGGGAGUCCCAAGAUUUAUUUUCCUUUCACACUGGGCUGCCCUGUCUUACUCAGAACCAGCCUGCCUCCACCCCCAACCCAGCACACCUGUGUCCUCUCCUCUUCUGGCCAGAGGGUAUGGUGGGAAUGUGAACCCUGGCCCAGGUCAGGCCCAACCAGGCCCUGGUGGCCUCUGCAGGGACAGGCUCCCUGUACAGGGAACUGGGGAAUGCUGGCCCGGCAGACAAGCCCAUCUGUACUGUGCACUUUUAUGGGGCGUUGAGGGAGCUAGCUCUGAGUGAAGCUCUCCCAGGCCCCAGCCAUCCCUACCACCUGUCCCACCACACCCGAGCUGCCCACAUUCCCAAGCCCUGAGCCUCCACCCUGGACUUGGCCUUGACUGGUGAAUAAAUCGCAGGCUGUGCAGUCUGCCUGACCACCAUACCCU